UCACUUCGGGCAUGCAAAGUCAAAAUCAGUCGACUUUUUAAACCUUCUAACGUAUAUGGCAGGAGUCAUUCUGCACUAAGAAAGUGCUGAACUUUGAGCGUCAGGACCCGGAAGCGUGUUAUUUUAUUGUCACAUGGCUUGAAGAUUUCAAUAACAACAAAAAAUGGCGACAAUCACGUUGUUCGCUGUAAGCCUUGCUGCGUCAUUAAAAAUAUUCACGUAAACAAGGGAGUCCAGCGUUGAAAAUGCAGCCGCUAGAGGAAUGUUAGGCAGAUGUUUUGUCAUUAUUUGGCAGGCGUUUCCACUGUCCUGAGAUGGCAAACACGACGUGCUGAUGGAGUUGUUUACAAGAAGAGCUUCGCACGGAGGGCGGGGAUGUUGUGGGCGGGGUUUGCUGGAUGUGGGAGGAGCCAAGCGCUUGCCAAAUACGAGAGCCAAGUAUAGAGGGUGGAGUCAGAGUUACCAUAACAAGUCUGUCGUCACAGGGGUGGUGUGUAUUAAUAUUUAAAGCUCAGGACGAAGGUAUUGAAUCUCCUCCGGUCAGAUGGACAGCGGAGUUGACAUCUAAUGGAGUGUAUUUGUAUAUAUAAAAAUAUGGCAUAAACUCCAAUCAUGAUAUUAUAAUUUCUAUUUAGUAUGUUUAAUAAUAAAAAUACUUUAAUGAUUGCAUAUACUCAUUCCUAUAAUACACACAAAUGGAAAUGUCAGAUUUAUUUAGCCUAUAUUAUAUAUUAACUGUUAUAUUUUGAAAACAGUAAACAUUACAUUUUGAUCUGAUAUUUAUUAAAGUGAUAGUUGUUAUCCCAGAAUGAACAUGGACAAGAAGAUGUGUGAAGAACUACUGCCCUGGCUCUGCUUGAUGUGACAGGCUGCCCUGGUUCAGUUAUCAUAGUGCUGAUGCUGUCCAUCUUAAAGGUACAGUACUGUGAUAACUGAAGGAUGGCUGCCAUCUUGACAUCUAGCCUCACAAAAAGAUUUUUAUUUUUUUUAACAGGUGAGAAAGAGGGAAAAAUAAAAAAACAAACCAAGAAAAUAAACAUCACAAUAAAGUUAAAUACAGAGAAAUCUCUGCUGAAUCCUGUUUUGAUAACAAACUGUGUCAAACUGUUGGUUGCAUUCUAAUUUUAUAUAUGAAAUCAUUCACAUUAUGGUAGCUUGUCAUCAGUGUAAUGUUAAAUUAUCCUCCUAGGAUCAGGCAGAAAAUGUUUUUUGACAUUUAUUUUGACAUUAUGUUGUUGUUUUGGGAAAUAAAAAAAUCAUUAAAAUA
Long non-coding RNA from Cyprinus carpio (common carp), 1267 nucleotides. RefSeq lists it as uncharacterized. The record is from RefSeq and is a predicted model, not a curated record. The transcript is spliced from 2 exons. Lineage: Eukaryota; Metazoa; Chordata; Actinopteri; Cypriniformes; Cyprinidae.